This 457-nucleotide ribosomal RNA is filed under the name uncultured bacterium. RNAcentral's name for it is "bacterial SSU rRNA". It matches the Rfam family "Bacterial small subunit ribosomal RNA", at positions 1 to 499 of the family's 1533-position model. The record is from RNAcentral.
GCCCUUAGAGUUUGAUCAUGGCUCAGGAUGAACGCUGGCGGCGUGCCUAAGGUAUGCAAGUCGAGCGUACCCAACUUCGGUUGGGAGCGGCAAACGGGUGAGUAACACGUGGAUUAUCUACCUCUAACACAGGGAUAGCUCGCCGAAAGGCGGAUUAAUACCUGAUAGUCCCUUCGGGGUAAAGCUCCGGCGGUUAGAGAUGAGUCCGCGGCCUAUCAGCUUGUUGGUAGGGUAACGGCCUACCAAGGCGAUUACGGGUAGCUGGUCUGAGAGGAUGGUCAGCCACACUGGGACUGUGACACGGCCCAGACUCCUACGGGAGGCAGCAAUCAGGAAUUUUGCGCAAUGGGGGAAACCCUGACGCAUCGACGCCGCGUGAAGGAUGAAGGCUUUCGGGUUGUAAACUUCUUUUCUACAGGACGAUAAUGACUUAACUGUAGGAAUAAAGCACCUGCUA